This 1245-nucleotide ribosomal RNA is filed under the name metagenome. RNAcentral describes it as "bacterial LSU rRNA". It matches the Rfam family "Bacterial large subunit ribosomal RNA", at positions 1643 to 2910 of the family's 2925-position model. The record is from RNAcentral.
CUUACCCCAAACCGACACAGGUGGACUAGCAGAGUAUGCUGAGGCGCUUGAGAGAAGUAUGCUGAAGGAACUAGGCAAUUUGCCCUCGUAACUUCGGAAGAAGAGGGCCCAACCUACGCGCAAGCGUUGAUUGGGGGCACAGAGCAGGGGGUAGCGACUGUUUACUAAAAACACAGGACUCUGCGAAAUCCAAAGAUGACGUAUAGGGUCUGACGCCUGCCCGGUGCCGGAAGGUUAAGAGGAGAUGUGAAAGCGUCGAAUCGAAGCCCCGGUAAACGGCGGCCGUAACAAUAACGGUCCUAAGGUAGCGAAAUUCCUUGUCGGGUAAGUUCCGACCUGCACGAAAGGCGUAACGACUUCCCCACUGUCUCCAGCAUAUGCUCAGCGAAGUUGAAUUCCCCGUGAAGAUGCGGGGUACCCGCGGUCAGACGGAAAGACCCCGUGCACCUUUACUGCAGCUUUGCACUGGCAUUAGGGAUGGAUUGCGUAGGAUAGGUGGUAGGCUUUGAAGUCUAGGCUCUGGCUUGGAUGGAGCCACCCUUGGAAUACCACCCUGUUUGUUCCUGAUGUCUAACCGCGAUUCGAAACAGGGUCCGGAACCAUGCAUGGCGGGCAGUUUGACUGGGGCGGUCGCCUCCCAAAGAGUAACGGAGGCGCGCAAUGGUAAGCUCAGGCCGGUCGGAAAUCGGCUGUUGAGUGCAAUGGCACAAGCUUGCCUGACUGCGAGGCUGACAAGCCAAGCAGAGUCGAAAGACGGUCAUAGUGAUCCGGUGGUCCCGCGUGGAAGGGCCAUCACUCAACGGAUAAAAGGUACGCCGGGGAUAACAGGCUGAUGAUCCCCAAGAGUCCAUAUCGACGGGAUCGUUUGGCACCUCGAUGUCGGCUCAUCACAUCCUGGGGCUGGAGCAGGUCCCAAGGGUAUGGCUGUUCGCCAUUUAAAGUGGUACGUGAGCUGGGUUUAGAACGUCGUGAGACAGUUCGGUCCCUAUCUGUCGUGGGUGUUCGAGACUUGAGAGGAUUUCUUCCUAGUACGAGAGGACCGGAAGGAACGCACCUCUGGUGGAUCGGUUGUCGCGCCAGCGGCACUGCCGAGUAGCUAUGUGCGGAACAGAUAACCGCUGAAAGCAUCUAAGCGGGAAACUAACCUCAAAACCAGGUCUCGCUGAGAGCCGUGGAUGACUACCACGUUGAUAGGCUGGGCGUGUAAGCGCAGCAAUGCGUUGAGCUUACCAGUCCUAAUCGCUC